GGAGCGUACCGGGACUUGGGGGAAGGUUGGAAAUGUUAAGGGAUUUGUCUAACCCUGUUUAAGACUCCAAGGUCAACAGCAACUCCUUAAGAUGGAUGACGCUUCAAUUGUGUAUUUUUAGAGCUACAUUCCAAAAGUUGUCACAAUUAUCAGUCACUACUUGCCGGCAGAGCAGCUGAAGUCUGCGGAAAAACUUCUUUCCCUUGCUUGCCAGAGGCCGGGCGCCCACAUGGGGUCUCUGAACAAAAUGAAUUUCAUUACAAGGCUUUCUGCUUUAUGUCUGAGGAAAAGCAAGAUGCAACACAGGCACCAAAGUAAUAGACGACCAGCUGCUCCACUUGGAUCACGGAUUUUAACUGAUCCUUCUAAGGUCUUUGAGCAUAACAUGUGGGACCAUAUGCAGUGGUCACAAGAAGAAGAGGAGAGUGCCAAGAAAAAAGCAGCAGAGAACUCGCUUGUGAAAGUUCAAUGGGAAGACCAAGAUAAAUAUGAGAGAGAAGCCAGUAAAUAUUGGAAUGAAUUUUACAAGACCCAUAAAAAUAACUUUUUCAAGGAUCGUAAUUGGCUAUUUCUGGAAUUUCCAGAAAUUCUUCCAGAAGAAAAGAGACAAGAAUUGAGAAGAGAAGAAAGAUCUUCAGAACACAGAAAAAUAAAUAGUACCAACAGUUUUUCACACAAAAAUGAAAUGUUUGAUGAAGGAGAAAAAUACUGGAAGAAAAAUUAUCGAGGUGCUUCUCCUGCUGUACAAGGAUGUGUAUAUAAUAAAAACAAAGCAGAAACAAUUAGUGAAAAUCCUCAGGGUAAAAAUUGCGGAGAAGAACUUGACAGGCUAGAAUCUUUCCCUGGAAGUGAUGCCACUUAUAGAAUAUUAGAGGUUGGUUGUGGAGCUGGAAACAGCGUCUUUCCUAUUUUGGAAGUUCUAUGCAAUACACCUGGAACCUUUCUAUACUGUUGUGAUUUUGCUUCAGGAGCAGUGGAGCUGGUAAAGUCACAUUCGUCCUACAAUUCAGCCUGGUGUUCUGCCUUUGUUCAUGAUGUGUGUGAUGACGCUUUACCCUAUCCUUUUCCAGAUGAGAUCCUGGAUGUCAUUCUCCUUGUCUUUGUGCUCUCUACUAUUCAUCCUGACAGGAUGCAAGGGGUUGUAAAUAGGUUGGCUAAGCUACUGAAACCUGGAGGAAUGUUGUUAUUUCGAGACUAUGGAAGAUAUGAUACAGCUCAACUUCGUUUUAAAAAAGGUCAUUGCUUGUCAGAAAAUUUUUAUGUACGAGGAGAUGGAACCAGAGUGUAUUUCUUUACCAAAGGCACUCCAAGAGUGAGAUUUGGAGUAUUUAAGGGAUCUACUAAAGUUCAGAAAUGAAACACAGGUUAUCUAGAACAAUGGAUCUUUCCACAGUAAUAGCAAAGCUUGACCAUGUGAGAACAGGAUUUUCUUUGGAAACAGUUCAGCUCUGUCUCAGAAACUACAGAUAAGGAACGAUCCUUGAACCUGUCUCAUCUGAGACAGGCAUUGCUUUCACUGAUGUUUUUAUGACAGCUGAAUGUGAAUGGUGAAUGUAUCUUUGGAAGGCAGAAGGUGAGGUGCAUUGUCUUUUAGUGGUCAAGUCUGAUAGACAUCCUUUUUUAUGUGUUGGUAUUGAGUUUUAUAUAAGAUUUUGCAAAAGUGAAAAUAAGUUUUCCCUAGGGAGAAAGAUAAGAAAUAAAGGAUUAGGAUAUCUCUCCGUACAAUAACUCCUACUGUGAAAUUCUAGCCCUAUUUGUAAUGCUAGUUUAAUAGAUGGAAUUGAUGAUCUUAAAAAGGUCUAUGAUUCUAAUAAGAGCUUUGCUACUGACUUCAGGAUGAUCACAGUUUUACUCCUAAGGUGCAGUUGUGCUUUUCUAGGAAAGCUAAAGUAUAAAAUACAGCUUCUGCCAGCACACCAUCAAUGCAGUAGGAAGGGAAGAGGAUAACAUUGAAUUACAUUCAUAGCCAAUAAUAGCUGCUGUGAGCACCCUGAUGAUCAGUGUAUUAAUGUUAGUCAUCAGCUUUUUGGGUUUGUAUAUGAUUAUUUUCUUCAAAUCUGAAUGAAGUAGACUCAAGAUGAAUUUGAGUUCUUUAUGGAACUGUAGUUAGUAUUUUUUUUAAAACUCUUUAAAAAAUGUCAGAUGUGGUAAAGCUUCUUAGAUUUUUAUUAAUAAAGCACACCAUUUAUAACUAACUAAGUUUUGAAGCCCUCCAAGGCACUGUUUAAUUUUUCAGCUCUCUUUUUUUGGUUCUAUCUAGUUCUGUAUUAGGUUCCUAUCAUCAGGUCUUGCCUUUCGUAAAGCAGACAUUCUCAUGCACACAUUUCUGGGACGUAUUGUGCACAUCAUGAAAGAAGGAAAAUGACUCUUGAUUGGGAUCCCAGUCUUCACUGACCCACUGCUCAGUGGGUAUUAGAUAGUGUGCUUGGCUAUCAGCAACAUUGCAGAGGGUCUUUGGCCAGUACAUUGCCUACAAGUCAUGGAUUGAAGACUGUUCCUUCAUAUAUUUCAGGCAGAGCUAACAUACUCUUUUUGAUAGGGCUGUUUUGAUGUCAGCUAAGAAAAUAACUCUUUGAUGUGUUUGCAUGAGAAUGAAUCCUGUAGAUAAAAUUAUAUUGCAUAGUAGUUUCCUGCAGCUCCCCAGAUACUUAUUAUUCGGAAAUUUAAUUCAGCCUCUCCCUAAGAAUUGAGGUCUCCACUUUGUACUUCUGAUUGCUUCUCUCAGCUCAAUUAAUGACAUGGAAGCACUUGUUCUUUCUCUGAAUAGUGUCUGGGUGCCUCCUGCCAGAGCAAUGGAGAUCACCUUCUGCUGAGCUUAUAGAUACAUGCAGGAAUAGAGCCAUAAUGGGUGCUUCAGUGCACUGUGUAAUAUCCUCUUCCAAAUUAAGGAGGCUCUGAGACCAAUCAGUUUUUCCCUGCCUGUAUUUGAUUGCACACUUAAAAUCAGCUGACUCUCAGAUCAAGUGGUGCCUUGUAGCUUUAAGCUCAGCAGUGGCUGUUGUCUGUGUGAGGGAAUUUUUCUGUCACUAUAAAAGGCAAAACCAAGACUAAAGAUACUAAAGAUGGCCCUGGAAUUUUUUUGCAAUGAUGCUCCCUGAGAAACUUGAAAUUUCUUGAUUGCAAAUAGGAAAACUCUUGAAGGUUCCUACUUGGUAGUACAUGGUAGAGAGAACUUGAGAAGGGAAGAAAAGGGUUUAAUUGAAUACUUUCAAAAAAUAAAGUGAAAAAAAUUAUGUAUAUCAAAUCAGAAGGAAAUAGAAUAGUAGGGUGAGGUGACAAAGUCCUCUUACAAUCUGAUAGUACUCAAGACUGGGCAAAGUUCUGCAUUGUGGUAUUAGAUGUCAACAUCCUGAGAUAUUCAGCUUGGCAUAGUGAGACCACUUCAUUGCCUCAUUUCAUGCUAGAGUGUUUCAGGCUAUGUGCUGAAUAUUUCCAGUACUUGGCAUCUAAUACUAUGUGCAAUAGAUUAAAUUUUCCUAUUUUGACAGGGAAUAUCUUUAGCAGGAUGCCUUGAAAUGCCUUAGGGAUUCAAGCUGUCCCUUAAUCAAUGCUGCAGAGGAUGCAGUUUUGAUUUUUUUCCUCUAAUAUAUGAACUAUGACACUAGAUUCAUCCUGGCAUACAUCUGCCAGAGCAGACUGAAGGCAUUCAGUGAGAGACACUUCAUGACCAGCCAACAAAUAGGAGGCAAUCUAAAAAAGGGGAAUUGAAAUAUAAUAUAGAUGGGAAGUAUAAGAUAUCUCAAAAUAAGGUCAUAAUGGAGGACAUAAAUUGCACAUCUAUGCAGACAGCAACAGGACAUCCUCAAAAUAUCCUACAGUAUCUGCAUACUGAUACUGACUUUUACAAAUAUGCAACAGAUAUGGAUUGUUUCUGAAAAGAACAGCUAUGGGUCAAGAUGUAACAUAACAGAGAAAACACCUCUGUGAAUAUAAAUAUUUAUUAUUAGUGGAGAGAAACUGCUUCCUACUAAAAUUGGCAAGAAUGAUGAAUUCAACCCUCUUAGUAUUUAUUGGAGAAUUAGAAGGCUAGUGAGGUGCAGCGAAAACCCCUUUUCUGCCUUCUAGAAAAAUCAGCAAAGCUAACACUGUCAGACCAUAAUGAAGAAUACUCCAGCAUAUUGAGAGCUACUGGGCUGCAGAUCCACCACUAAAAAUCUCCAGUGCCUGAUACUGAACCAAAAAGAGAAAAAUACAAAAUAAAAAUUCCUACAUUACCUGAAGGACUUGCAGAAUUCUUUUCCAUCUGUAUUUUUUGUGAUUGUUAAUACUUGUGUGAAACAAUGCUGAACUGCCAUAGAGCAAAUUACAAGCAAGAGAUGACUGUGUCUAGUUUGAUCUUUGAGCUUCUUUGAUUAGAUGCAGAUAAGAGUCAAUGUCAUCUCUACAUAUUGUGGCAUGUUUAACAUCUGCUGGUCCUUUCUGGGUUGGUUUGCAGUUUGAGUCCUUAACUUAUGACCUUUUCUUUUUCUUUGAUUUAGCCAUUGAUUACACCCCAGAAGAUGUAAUUCAUUUGAACUACAAAAUCUCUGCUUGUUGUGGUACUAAUAAGCAUUGUGCCUACUGAAAGCUGUAGCAGAAGAGAAAGGGAGGAGGCCUAACAUGCCUGACACUGUCUUUUGUCUGUGUUGCAGCAAGGGGAGAAGGAAAGAUGUAUAGGAAUAGUUUUAUCAUCAUGCAUACAUAUACACACACAUAAGCAUUUUUAUUUGUUUAUCUAAUCUCCUGGAUGCUUUUUCAAUGCCUGUUUUAACCCUUUGUUCUUGAAGUAAGCAAGGAAAAACUAUAUGACAGGCAUUUAAUUUUUUUCUUUCUUGAGAGCAGCUAGUGUCCCUUGUGUUGAGAAGAAAAUAGUACCGUGUGGAAAGCUAAAUUUCAAUUAACACAUCAAAGGGCAGUUUGUGGUGUUUUGCCUAUAACUAAGGCUUAACUGAGUUGCAGGACUCUGGGAAUUUUGUGUUUUCCUAUAUGCUCACUUACUGCAUUCUUAGCUCUCCUACAUUUCUAGUCUUCCUCUGCUUCUCCAGAUGGGACUAAUGACAGCAGUAUAAUCUUGUCGAAUAUGGUUCUUGCUGAGGAAUUAGAUGAACAGCUGCUGGGAACAGUCUGGGAAUACAAUUUGGUGAAAAAAAAGAGAUGAGGUACAAACAAAUUCCCUUAUGAUGCCAUUCAUUCUAUAUGCAGUAUUAUACCAGAGGGUGGAAAAAUGGGAAGGCCUAAAUUCAAUUUCAAUUUGAGCUGGUUUAAAAAGAAGCAAUUCUACAUACAUUGCAGCCACAAAAGCAUAUAUUUAUAGGCACAGGCUUUCACUUUGUAGGUAGAAACUGCACAGCUGGUUGUGUACAUCUGGUUUUUUGCAUGCAUAAGAACUUACUUUGACAGGCACAACUAUUGUACUUUCUUCUCAGUAUUUCCCAAACAGUUAUGCUAAUUCCUACAUUAUCUAGUUCAUAUCUCUUCUUCGUGCUUUAAACAAGGUUGGGAAGGGGAAGAAAACCCUACAUUUUGGCAUGCAGGACAAUCAGAAAUCCAAUCCAGAAAAUGAAAAAGUCAUUGGUAUGUGUCAGUGUUCCUGCAAUAUCCUCCCACUCACAUUUUUGCAUUGUAAAAAUCCAGCAUGCAAUUGUUGGUUAGGACUGGAAAUUAAAGCUAAUCUCCUCAGUUGCCUUAUGCAUGUCAUACACCAAUUGAAGCAAUGGCAUUUUGCUUUCUUGUCUUGCUACUUCAGUGAAUUUCUUCUCGGGUCCUUUACACCUAGCAGUGUCUGGGAAACACACACAGAAUUAAACAGGCCUGUCUACGGAAAUGGGAGAGCCAAAGACAAGAAUUGUGUUGAUUUUGGAUAAAGUAUCAUUUAGUGUAGUUCUAAUAAUUCACACUAUUUUGUAAAGUUUGGUGGGGAUCUUGGUAAUAUAGAACAUGCUGUGGCCUUUGGCCACACAUCCCAUAUUUUGAACCAGAUUUCCACCAACUUGUUUCCUUUCAUCCCACUGAUGGCCAGUAGCCAGUAGUAGGAGUUGGAUUCUUUUCUUGAUUGGUGGGUUAGAACACAUGGAAACCCUCUUAUGCUGUGUAUGUUUUGUAAACUACAAGAUUGGACUGAAAACAGCCAUUUUAGAGUUCUAGGAAAGUAAUUUUAAAUAAAUACUUCAAAAUAUUAUUCUGGAACUGAAUUUUUUCCAAUUUUUUUAAAU
Molecule: RNA transcript, 6191 nt
Organism: Pseudopipra pipra
Lineage: Eukaryota; Metazoa; Chordata; Aves; Passeriformes; Pipridae
Gene: METTL8
Gene name: methyltransferase 8, tRNA N3-cytidine
Exons: 11
Source: RefSeq, a predicted model, not a curated record